CUACCUGCAGGUUUUGUUUUCUAAUAAAGAAGAGAAACCAGAAAACAGAAAAGGCAAGCAGGCAAGUAAUGGCACCGUAUCUGUUGUUGAGCUGGUCCAGAUUGGAUUUAUCUCCCUUUUGUGGUUGGCACAGCUUUGUGUGGUUGGGUGUAUGUGAAUGGCUAGAUUCAUGUCAUAGUAGUUACAGAAAAUGACAGCAUCUGUAGGCCACUCUGGGGUUGAUGGAAGAGAAGGCUGCUCAAGGUGAGAUGAUGGCGUUAGGGCUCUGGUCACUCAGUCCCCACCAGGCUGCCCUAAAGGCCAAGGGGAUCCAUAUCCCCUGUUCACUUUGCAGUUUGCCGCUGCACAGGGGGCACUGCUGGGAAGCUCUCCCCUUAGCUCGCAGACCUCCCCAGGAGAUGUGAUGAGCUUCUGGCCCCCUGAAGAGCUGCUAAAGGCAUGAGCUGACCUAAAGGGGAGAAGACAUUCUCCCUAUCUCUUCAUCAAAUUCCGUGAUGUUUGAGCAGCUUAAAGACCAGAACAUUUGGUGGCAUCUGCAGCUGGGAUCUUGGAUGUAGAUACUGUCAUUUCGCAGUGACGUCCAUGUGUGAAGAAAAAGAACAGAACAGACUGUGUGGUGACGGAGGCUGACAGACUGGUUUGUAAGAAACCGUGAGUGAGAAAUUGUGACUUAUAAGAAAUAGAUCUUUGGCCAUUCAGAUGACUAAAAUGGAUUGUUCGUGUAUGUUUUGGGCUUUGUCCAAGGUUCCUGGCUCAUGUUUGUCAAAACCCUUGGGACUUCCUGGUCAUUAAGAGCCAUGGGAGCAUCUUUGGUCACCACAUUGGUCUUAUGUCAUCAGUUCCUAAAAUUGCUUCCUAAUCAUAAGUGUGAAGUGGAUGCCUGUUUAUUCAUAACAAGCCCCUUUCCACAGCACCCGAGUUUGUGUUAAUGAGGUGCCUUUUGUGAGUGCUGAGCCUGGAGGCUGGCUGCCAAGGGAACCAAGGGAGAGGGCAGGACCUGGAGACUGAGCUCAGCCACCAAUGGCUAAUGCCGUCAUCCGUCAUGACUAUGUAACAAAGCCUCCAUAAAACCUGUAAAAGAUGGGGUCCAGGGAGCGCCUGGGUUGAUGAACACAUAGGGAUGGGGGAGGAGGGUGUGCUUGGAGAGAACGUGGGUGCUCCAAGCAGUUCCUUUUCCCUCGUCCUAUGCAUCUCUUCCACCUGGCUGUUCCCGAGCUGUGCCCUUCAUCAUCCAUUGAUCAGCUGGUGAGUCCAUGGAUUUCCUGAGUUGUGUGAGCCCCUCCAACUGAAUCAGGCCCAAGGACGGGGUCAUGGGAACCUCUGAUUUAUGCCCAGUCCGUCAGAAGGACAGGUAUCAGCCAGGGUGUAUGAGCCGUUUACCUGUGGCAUCUGACGCUACCUCAGGGUAGAGAGUGUCUGAAUUGAGCUGAACUGCAAGCCCCCAGCCAGUGUUCAAGAAUUGCUUCUUGAUGGUAUAAGGGUGGAAACACCUCCCCUGUUGGAAACUGGUGACUAGAGCCCCUUUAACGAGGCUCCCCUUGGGGGGAUACCCAGCACAAAUUGUGGGGUACUUAGGCAGAGUUAUUGGAGGAAACUUUUAACCCAAGAAAGAGCUGAGUCCCAAGAAAAUCACUUCCCAAGGAGCUGAGAGGAUUCAACAAGAUAAGUCUUGUGAAGCUGGCCCACACUACGUGCUCCCUAAGUAUGUCUUGGCUCUUCUAUUAAACCCCUGUCUGCAAACAGAAAGUAACUCAAAUGCACUUAAACUGACCAAAAAUGAUGUGCUUGUGUGUGUGUGGAAGGUGGAAUGUGGUUGGUGCACUGUUUAGUGUAAGAAAAUAGUGUUGUCUCGCGAGGCCUGAGGACCAGAAUAUACCUGACCCUUAGGAGGUGCUGGAAGCUGGACCUGAAAACCAUUCAGAACUCAGGCAACCUCGGUAAGUGAAUUUCUCUAUGGACCCCUUGAUAGUGAAAAUGGCACAGCGUGACCCCUGGGCUCGCCUUCCCUCCAGCCCCAGUGUGAGAAUUUCUUCAUGCAGACCAUCCGGCAGAAGAGCAUCUGAUGGGCCUAAUGUGGGUGAUGUGUCCAAACAUUCUUUGAGAAACCUUUGGCCUGGAGUGUGGGACCCCAGAGCAGGAGCAUGGACCCUUGGUGCCCCUCCUGCAACCAAGAGGGAUGAGAGAAGAAAUUAAAACUAUUAGAACCCCCGUGAACUGCAUUUUGGAGAAGACGUUAACUUAAAAUCAAGUCACACAAGAGGAGAUGAAGGUUCUCAGUUCUUUAACUUGGAAGGUCAAGCUUCUGCUAUCAUCCUAAACGCUCCUCUUGGGAGGGAAACAGUGCUUUCAUAUCGAAUGGAAAGAGUUUCGCUGGGGAGCAACCCUCUGGCCUCGGUAACCAGUCUUCCUGGAAAAAUACCAGACUACACAGGAAAAUCCAAUCCUGAAUUCCCAGCUUGUAAGUCAUUUUGUUUCUCCUCUUUGAAUUCUCCAAUUUCCUUCAAGUAUACCACUGAUUUUUAUCUUCCCUCUUCCCAAGCCCUAAAAUCCUGCAGUGAAUGGUAAUAAUAACAAUAAAUACCUCCGAUUACACCAUGGUAAACUCUUGGCAUACGCUGUCCCAUUCAGUUCUCGUAUUAACUCUAUCAUGUAGGGAUGAACGUUAUUCAUAUUUUACCUGCACUCCUGAGGUUCGGGGAAGUUAAUUAUCCAAAGACAGAUUGCUGGUAGAUGGUGAAACCAGAACUUAAGCUCAUUUCUGAAUCCCAAGAUAAUGCCUUUAAUCUCUGUGCCUGACCAUGCGUGGGACUUUCCUUCCUUUAACCUUCCCUCUCACUUGGCCGGUUUUGAUGGUGUUUUUGGUGAUAUUCACUAAAGCAUCUUGCUUUUGUCGGUUAGUCUAGGAUUACAUCUAAUUCACUUUAACGCAAGGCUGAGCUCUGUAACAGAUACAAAGAAUUUUGCCCUUAAUUUUCUUAAAACUUAACUUUCUUUCCCAAGUGAGGUGGACUGCCAUUUGGACAACACAUUCCGGUCUUACUUCCUCUCCGCACAAAAUUGGUGAAUGCCUUAGUAAAGAACUGGGCACAAAGCAUUAACCUUGUGGUUCUAUUAAUUGUUGGUUCCCUGAAAAGACCACCAAAUUAACCUAUGGGUCAAGCAAAGCCAAGUUUACAACUUAUUGCAGUGAAGGAGAAUGCCAUUUUGACAUAUUCUUAGUGUGUCUCAGAGGCGGCCUCAAGGGUGGUUAUUUAUGUACGUAUUUAUUUUUUAAAUGAUCUUUAUUUUUUCCAUUAUAGUUGGUUUACACUGUUCUGUCAAUUUCUACUGUAC
Sus scrofa (pig) is the source of this 3333-nucleotide long non-coding RNA. RefSeq lists it as uncharacterized. The record is from RefSeq and is a predicted model, not a curated record. Lineage: Eukaryota; Metazoa; Chordata; Mammalia; Artiodactyla; Suidae.